Molecule: ribosomal RNA, 301 nt
Filed under: uncultured bacterium
Lineage: Bacteria
Description: partial 16S ribosomal RNA
Rfam family: Bacterial small subunit ribosomal RNA
Source: RNAcentral
CAGUAGCCGCGGGAAUACAGAGGAUGCAAGCGUUAUCCGGAACGAUUGGGCGUAAAGCGUCUGUAGGUGGCUUUUCAAGUCCGCCGUCAAAUCCCAGGGCUCAACCCUAGACAGGCGGUGGAAACUACCAAGCUUGAGUACAGUAGGGGCAGAGGGAAUUUCCAGUAGAGCGGUGAAAUGCGUUGAGAUCGGAAAGAACACCAAUGACAAAAGCACUCUGUUGGGCUGACACUGACACUGAGAGACGAAAGCUAGGGGAGCAAAUGGGAUUAGAGACCCCCGUAGUCCCUGUCUCUUAUAC